AACGAACGCUGGCGGCAUGCCUAACACAUGCAAGUCGAACGAGACCUUCGGGUCUAGUGGCGCACGGGUGCGUAACGCGUGGGAACCUUCCUUUAGGUUCGGAAUAACUCAGAGAAAUUUGAGCUAAUACCGGAUGAUGUCUUCGGACCAAAGAUUUAUCGCCUUUAGAUGGGCCCGCGUUGGAUUAGCUAGUUGGUGGGGUAAAGGCCUACCAAGGCGACGAUCCAUAGCUGGUCUGAGAGGAUGAUCAGCCACACUGGGACUGAGACACGGCCCAGACUCCUACGGGAGGCAGCAGUGGGGAAUAUUGGAAAAUGGGGGAAAGCCUGAUCCAGCAAUGACGCGUGAGUGAUGAAGGCCUUAGGGUUGUAAAGCUCUUUUAACCGAGAUGAUAAUGACAGUAUCGGGAGAAUAAGCCCCGGCUAACUACGUG
This 433-nucleotide ribosomal RNA is filed under the name uncultured bacterium. RNAcentral describes it as "partial 16S ribosomal RNA". It matches the Rfam family "Bacterial small subunit ribosomal RNA", at positions 29 to 507 of the family's 1533-position model. The record is from RNAcentral.